GACGAACGCUGGCGGCGUGCUUAACACAUGCAAGUCGAACGGAAAGGCCUGCUUUCCCUUGUGGAUUGCGGGUACUCGAGUGGCGAACGGGUGAGUAACACGUGAGUGAUCUGCCCCCAACUUGGGUAUAAGCCUGGGAAACUGGGUCUAAUUCCCGAUAGGACUGCAGGGUGGUGCCUGUGGUGGAACACGAUUUUCUAGUGGUUGGGGAUGAGCUCGCGGCCUAUCAGCUUGUUGGUGGGGUAAUGGCCUACCAAGGCGGCGACGGGUAGCCGGCCUGAGAGGGUGGACGGCCACAUUGGGACUGAGAUACGGCCCAGACUCCUACGGGAGGCAGCAGUGGGGAGUAUUACACAAUGGGCGGAAGCCUGAUGCAGCGACGCCGCGUGGGGGAUGACGGCCUUCGGGUUGUAAACUCCUUUCGACCGCGAGGAAGCCACCUGGUUGGAAGGGUGGUGACGGUAGUGGUAGAAGAAGCACCGGCUAACUACGUG
This 494-nucleotide ribosomal RNA is filed under the name uncultured bacterium. RNAcentral describes it as "partial 16S ribosomal RNA". It matches the Rfam family "Bacterial small subunit ribosomal RNA", at positions 28 to 507 of the family's 1533-position model. The record is from RNAcentral.